This 1762-nucleotide long non-coding RNA is filed under the name Trifolium pratense (red clover). Its description in RNAcentral is "long non-coding RNA (TPRA_LNC013387)". Lineage: Eukaryota; Viridiplantae; Streptophyta; Magnoliopsida; Fabales; Fabaceae. The record is from RNAcentral.
CAAACCCAGAACCCUCUUAUUCUCACUUGAAUUGAUUGAAACCAGAAACCCUUAAUCAUUAUUAUUCAUUCACCCUCAAUAGAUUGAAACCCAAAAACCUUUACUCUUCUCUUCCGUCGGCAGUCAAUCUCACUCACUCAUUGAAACCCUAAAACCCAAAAGCUUGACUCGUUGGAACCAGAAUCCAGAACUCGUUAAAACCCCAAAACCAUCUUCCCCAUCGUUCUAGAGUUCUUUGAACCCAGAAACUCUUCGUCGUGUCUGCAUCGUUCACCAUUAUUCAUCGCAAUUGAACCUCGUCUCGUCAGAACUCGUUCUUUAGGUAUUUGGAUUUCUCUUAUUCUUCUUUGAUUUCUAAUUUUAAAUUUGCAGUCCAAGAUUUUGGAUUUCUUUUGCAUUAAAAAAUGUUUGUGUUCUUUGUGUUCUAUAAUUUGUUCACUAAACUACAAUUGUGGAAAGCUGCUUACCUUUCACAUCGUGUUGGAUAGGUAUCAUGAUUUUGUUCUAUUCAUGGUUUUGAAGCAAUGAUUCUAUAAGUAACAUUAUAAGCAAUGAAAAUAACAAAUUAUUUGUUAUUAAUAAGCAAAAAAGUAGUUCUUUUGAGAUAUUGAUCGUUAAAUUUAGAAUAUUGUUAAUAGAAACCUUAGAGUAUAUAUGUAUAUAAUUAUGCAGAUCUUAUAUUUGAUAGCACAAAUUUAUAAUUAUGCCGGUAACAUCAUCGACAAUGGUCACUCUCAUCUCAUUAUUUUCAAGUUCAAAAUGUCACACUACAUGUGAGUAGUCUUCUCUCCUAGUUUACUACUUUUUCUUUCUGCAUUUUGUCUUCAAGUACUCAUUUCAACUUCAAAGUUUUACCCUUUUAUCUGUAUGUUAUGCUUUGAUUAUAAGGCUGAUAAGGAAACAUGAAAUUUAUUCUCAAAUGACUCUUCAUCUAUGCCUAUAUAGCAUUAGUUGGUUGCAAACCCUCUUUCAUGUCCGUACAAUAUAACCNNNNNNNNNNNNNNNNNNNNNNNNNNNNNNNNNNNNNNNNNNNNNNNNNGGUUUACUUAUGCUCAGUUUAAUUUUGCUCAGUUAUUCACUUAUUACCUCUUAUCUUCAAUCUUUUAUGAUUGAUAUUACUUAGCCUCAUUAUAUAGUCGAUAUUGGCAUACAUUAAGCUAUCAGUUAUCUCAUUAGAAAUUCUGCUAUUGUUUUGGCAGGGGAACCGAGGUAUUGAGAAACAACUUUUUCAACUUCCUAAUUUCAUUGCUGCCACUGGUAUUGAAAAAAUCAGACAGGUAAUCUUACAUGUUUGAUAUAAGUGGUUAUUUUUGUUACUUACAAAUUUUUUGUGUUAUUUGUGUUCUUGAAAUUUCACAUUUUUUCACUAUCAGAUGCUAAUUUAUGGGAACUACACAUUAUAAACUUGUGCUUUGUUAUAUAUAGGUUUCUAUGUGUGAAUAAUUUUGUGAUAGAUUCAUGCAUGGAUGAGUUGUUGGUUUUGAUAAGUUGUUUUUACUUAUAGCAAUUUAGAAUGUUAGAGUCCUAGAUAUGUAAUAUUGAUGAAAAGUUGUGUCCCUUUAGUUAAUUUUCUGUUUCACAAAUGAACUUUAUAUGAUACAAACAUUCAUCUAUGUACUUUAAUCAAUUCAUCAUAAUAUUGUAGUCACAGUUUUUAUAUAUGAUGUGUCAUGCAGGAGGCUUAUAUUAUGGUUACCGUCUUCGUCGAUAUUUUCUGGCUCGAGGUUGCGGCUGUAAAGUCCUCUCUUGACAUUCCUCAAUU